CCCAACCUAAAGCAGCCUGGAGUGCUCGCCGGGCUCAUAACCCGGAGGUCCUAGGUUCAAAUCCUAGCCCCGCUA
RNAcentral lists this transfer RNA (75 nucleotides) under archaeon. RNAcentral describes it as "tRNA-Met". The stretch from base 14 to 75 matches the Rfam family "tRNA". From Rfam's summary of the family: Transfer RNA (tRNA) molecules are approximately 80 nucleotides in length. Their secondary structure includes four short double-helical elements and three loops (D, anti-codon, and T loops). The record is from RNAcentral.